Non-coding RNA from Zalophus californianus (California sea lion), 609 nucleotides. The record is from the annotation of a RefSeq genome assembly. Lineage: Eukaryota; Metazoa; Chordata; Mammalia; Carnivora; Otariidae.
AUGAUUUUCCUUAUUCGUCAGGAUUCUUACAGCCAGCAAAAUGCCACAGAAGGUCGCUACUCACUGAAUUUCCAGAAGACAAGAAAAUCCAUCCAACUUGUCAUCUCAGCUUCAGAGGUGGAGGACUCCGCAGUGUAUUUCUGUGCACCGAGGGAGCCUACAAUUGAAGAGCAUUAUUUAGGUGACACUCCAGAGAUGUGUUCUCCAGGCUUCGUGACUGUGGUUCUCUUCAUGCUUGGACAAACCCAUGGAGACUCAGUGACCCAGACGGAGGGCCCAGUGACCCUCUCAGAAGAAGCUUCCCUGACUAUAAACUGUACCUAUUCAACAACAGGGUCUCCCACUCUUUUCUGGUAUGUCCAAUAUCCUGGUGAGGGUCUACAGCUCCUACUCAAUGCCUUUAGUGAUAAGAAGAAAAGCAAGAAAGGAUUUGAAGCCACCUUCGACAGCAAAUCCAAAUCCUUCCACUUGGAGAAAGGCUCAGUGCAAGCGUCAGAUUCAGCUGUGUACUACUGUGCCAUGAGUGACACAGUGAUGGGGACUGCAGGGGGAGCUGAGCACAAAACUCUGAGCAGAGCGGGGGCCUGGAUGCUGAGCCUCUCUGCCUGA